This 496-nucleotide ribosomal RNA is filed under the name uncultured bacterium. RNAcentral describes it as "partial 16S ribosomal RNA". It matches the Rfam family "Bacterial small subunit ribosomal RNA", at positions 29 to 507 of the family's 1533-position model. The record is from RNAcentral.
AUGCACGCUGGCGGCGUGCCUAAUCCAUGCAAGUCGAGCGAACGGACGAGAAGCUUGCUUUUCUGAUGUUAGCGGCGGACGGGUGAGUAACACGUGGAUAACCUACCUAUAAGACUGGGAUAACUUCGGGAAACCGGAGCUAAUACCGGAUAAUAUUUUGAACCGCAUGGUUCAAAAGUGAAAGACGGUCUUGCUGUCACUUAUAGAUGGAUCCGCGCUGCAUUAGCUAGUUGGUAAGGUAACGGCUUACCAAGGCAACGAUGCAUAGCCGACCUGAGAGGGUGAUCGGCCACACUGGAACUGAGACACGGUCCAGACUCCUACGGGAGGCAGCAGUAGGGAAUCUUCCGCAAUGGGCGAAAGCCUGACGGAGCAACGCCGCGUGAGUGAUGAAGGUCUUCGGAUCGUAAAACUCUGCUAUUAGGGAAGAACAUAUGUGUAAGUAACUGUGCACAUCUUGACGGUACCUAAUCAGAAAGCCACGGCUAACUACGUG